RNAcentral lists this ribosomal RNA (454 nucleotides) under uncultured bacterium. RNAcentral describes it as "bacterial SSU rRNA". It matches the Rfam family "Bacterial small subunit ribosomal RNA", at positions 340 to 784 of the family's 1533-position model. The record is from RNAcentral.
UACGGAAGGCAGCAGUGGGGAAGUAUUGCACAAUGGGCGCAAGCCUGAUGCAGCCAUGCCGCGUGUAUGAAGAAGGCCUUCGGGUUGUAAAGUACUUUCAGUCGUGAAGGAAGGUGUUAAGGUUAAUAACCUUAGCAAUUGACGUUAGCGACAGAAGAAGCACCGGCUAACUCCGUGCCAGCAGCCGCGGUAAUACGGAGGGUGCGAGCGUUAAUCGGAAUUACUGGGCGUAAAGGGCACGCAGGCGGUUAAUUAAGUUGGAUGUGAAAUCCCCGGGCUUAACCUGGGAAUGGCAUUCAAGACUGGUUAGCUAGAGUCUUGUAGAGGGGGUAGAAUUCCAUGUGUAGCGGUGAAAUGCGUAGAGAUGUGGAGGAAUACCGGUGGCGAAGGCGGCCCCUGGACAAAGACUGACGCUCAUGUGCGAAAGCGUGGGGAGCAAAACAGGGAUUAGAUA